UUGGAGAGUGGAUCUAAUUUU
Caenorhabditis elegans is the source of this 21-nucleotide non-coding RNA. The record is from Ensembl. Lineage: Eukaryota; Metazoa; Nematoda; Chromadorea; Rhabditida; Rhabditidae.